RNAcentral lists this ribosomal RNA (488 nucleotides) under uncultured bacterium. RNAcentral describes it as "bacterial SSU rRNA". It matches the Rfam family "Bacterial small subunit ribosomal RNA", at positions 29 to 511 of the family's 1533-position model. The record is from RNAcentral.
AUUGAACGCUGGCGGCGUGCCUAACACAUGCAAGUCGAGCGGCAGCGCGGGAGCAAUCCUGGCGGCGAGCGGCGGACGGGUGAGUAACGCUUGGGAAUCUGCCUGUUAGUGGGGGACAACCCGGGGAAACUCGGGCUAAUACCGCAUACGCACUACGGUGGAAAGCCGGGGACCGCAAGGCCUGGCGCUAACAGAUGAGCCCAAGUCGGAUUAGCUAGUUGGUAGGGUAACGGCCUACCAAGGCGACGAUCCGUAACUGGUCUGAGAGGACGACCAGUCACACCGGAACUGAGACACGGUCCGGACUCCUACGGGAGGCAGCAGUGGGGAAUAUUGGACAAUGGGGGAAACCCUGAUCCAGCGACGCCGCGUGGGUGAAGAAGGCCUGCGGGUUGUAAAGCCCUUUCAGUGGGGAAGAAAAGCCUCGACCUAACACGUCGGGGUCUUGACGUAACCCAUAGAAGAAGCACCGGCUAACUCUGUGCCAG